Non-coding RNA from Paramuricea clavata, 1773 nucleotides. NCBI's taxonomy places the organism in Eukaryota, Metazoa, Cnidaria, Anthozoa, Malacalcyonacea, Plexauridae. The record is from the annotation of a GenBank genome assembly.
AACGUUUCGACACUCCAGUCUAGUGUCUUCAUCAGUGGUCAUCUAAAGUUGCAAUCGUGGCUUCUUAAAUACCCGAGGGAUGACGUCACCUGCCAAUGAGACGCAUGUAUUCCUCUGGCAAAUAAGCACCGUCAUCCCUAUUCAAAGCAUGCAUGAUUACUCAUAUUUAUAUGCCACGCUUCUAGGCAUAGUCUUUGACCAAUAGCGAUUGUUUGUGGUAAUUACUUUAGAGUUUUCCCACGCAAUCUCGUGUUUGGUGUCACGCACAUGUUCUGCUUAAAGUUGAUUUUCCCUUGUCUAAAGUCGAAACAGCUUUUUGAUGUUCUUUUAGCCGUGCACCAAACUGGCGUUUAGACUGACCCAAAUACUCCUUCUCGCAGUCACCGCAUGGUAUAGAAUAAACAAAACUGUAUAUUAAACUAAAGAUUAUUUUUAUUGCUUCUCUGAAAAGUAGGAAUGGAUACAUAUAAUAUAUUCAUAACUAUUGAUUAAGGUCAAAAUUUGCGGGAAAAUGAAGAACAUGCUAGGGGCAAAAUCGUUUCGAAACUUUGUAAUCCGACAGAAUAAAUCCGUAUGUUGUGACGCGAAAUAGGUGCGCGGUCAGACGGAAAAAGCGGCAUAUCUCAAUCGGAGCAUGCGUAGUCGCAAAGUAGGAGCAAAUUCAGAAUCGCUUCACUCUGACGAAUAUUUCGAUUCUAAAUUAUUGUUGUUUCGUCCUAAAUAUCUGGUGGCAAAAUGAGUAUUUCUUCAACCAAGUCUUCGUGGCACUACAGACCGCUGUGAGAGAUCUGGCCCGAUGUAUCGCAUUUCUUGAUAUAGCAGUAUUUGCAUUAUAUUAUAUAUUAUAUCCCUCCAUGCGUUUAUAUGGACUUUAUAUUUAUGUUUAUAUCAAUUCAGACCUAAAAAUGAUUUAAAUUUGAAAUGCUUGUCUAUGUUUGAUAUGCGCAUUAGAGUAUAUCACUACAUAUGUCCUACUUAUAUGGGCAAUUUACUGGUAUAUGCAAUUUGCGGGCUGUGUGCGGGCUAACGCGCGCGUUGAAUAAACAGUAAACAAAAUAAUAAAGGGUUGAAACAUCGACGAGUGCCGGAAUUUAAAGCACAAUAUCAGUGUGUUUAAAUACAAAAAUCUGAGUUUUAUAAUGUUAUUAGGUCGACUAGGGCACAGAAUACUAUACAGAAGUCCAUAUUCGUCACUCAGCAAGCACCGUAAACAGAAGCAGUCCGCCUGGGAAUAUCUAAAAUGGCACACGCCCGGGGGGGGUGACUGCUUCUGUUUACGGUACUUGCUGAGUGACGAAUCAUGAUAAAUAGCGCUUACUUCCUACUACACACUCCACAAUUCUCUGAAAUCAUAUGGAAAAUAUUAAAUAGUAUUGCCAGUAUUGUAGCUGUUGCAAAACACAAUUACAAAAUCAGCGAUCGGCCGGCCGGGAAAAUUUCAAACAAAUAUAUGAAUUAACUUACCAGUCAACCGCGAUAUUUUUGGGAUUUUAAAAAUUAGUUGCAGAUGACAAGUUUGUAAUCAGAAAGGAAAUUUCUGAAAGAAUGUCUUUUGUUGAAAUUUAUAGAAACUUAAGUCGAUAAUUUGUCAAUGUCACAGCAACCUGUAGAAGUUGAUGGAACACAUACUUCCGGCACGCAACAUCCCUUUAUUAUUUUCUUUACUGUUACCGCAAAUCGCAUGCUUUAACACUGGGCUAUAUAUUUUCAUAUGUAAUGCUGAUACAUAACUUCAAUAAGACCGGGGAUGGGCUCCUAUGGUUUAAGGCCUCC